RNAcentral lists this long non-coding RNA (212 nucleotides) under Mytilus galloprovincialis (Mediterranean mussel). Lineage: Eukaryota; Metazoa; Mollusca; Bivalvia; Mytilida; Mytilidae. The record is from RNAcentral.
GGAAGGCAAGAAAUUAUAUUCCAUUGUCUAUUUAAAACGUUGUCAUUCACAGUUUUAAUCCCAUUGAGUAAAAUCCUGAGACGACAAGAAAGACUUCGUGACGAAAUGACCUUAUCACGAGAAAGAAAAUCGUUACAAUACACCCCCGUACCCUAGAUAAAUGUCUCAUGCACUUUACAAGAGGCAGUUAACGAAGAUAAAUCAUCAUUUCG